RNAcentral lists this ribosomal RNA (494 nucleotides) under uncultured bacterium. RNAcentral's name for it is "partial 16S ribosomal RNA". It matches the Rfam family "Bacterial small subunit ribosomal RNA", at positions 28 to 507 of the family's 1533-position model. The record is from RNAcentral.
GACGAACGCUGGCGGCGCGCUUAACACAUGCCAGUCGAACGGAAAGGCCUGCUUUCCCUUGUGGAUUGCGGGUACUCGAGUGGCGAACGGGUGAGUAACACGUGAGUGAUCUGCCCCCAACUUGGGUAUAAGCCUGGGAAACUGGGUCUAAUUCCCGAUAGGACUGCAGGGUGGUGCCUGUGGUGGAAAACGAUUUUCUAGUGGUUGGGGAUGAGCUCGCGGCCUAUCAGCUUGUUGGUGGGGUAAUGGCCUACCAAGGCGGCGACGGGUAGCCGGCCUGAGAGGGUGGACGGCCACAUUGGGACUGAGAUACGGCCCAGACUCCUACGGGAGGCAGCAGUGGGGAAUAUUGCACAAUGGGCGGAAGCCUGAUGCAGCGACGCCGCGUGGGGGAUGACGGCCUUCGGGUUGUAAACUCCUUUCGACCGCGAGGAAGCCACCUGGUUGGAAGGGUGGUGACGGCAGUGGUAGAAGAAGCACCGGCUAACUACGUG